Ostrea edulis (European flat oyster) is the source of this 1112-nucleotide long non-coding RNA. RefSeq lists it as uncharacterized. The record is from RefSeq and is a predicted model, not a curated record. The transcript has 2 exons. Lineage: Eukaryota; Metazoa; Mollusca; Bivalvia; Ostreida; Ostreidae.
GUAAAAAGUGUGAAUUUGCUCAUCUACUUUGAAUCCCCUGCGCUACCGCCUUAUUAUGACGAAAAAGAACACAGAACCUGGUGAGAAAGCAACGAAUUUCAACGUACACGUAUGCCUGCCUACGGCAUGUCGAUCAACUGUACCGUUAUUCAGUGUUGUUUACAAAUUCAAAUGGAAGGUUCAUCAAAUUUAACGCAUUUGACUUGUGCAUGGAUCUGCGAUGCUGUACGUGUUCAAAAAGAAGUCGGCAUGGACUGAGAAGGUCAUAAAAGUGGUCAGGAAAUAAAUUGCCAACAGACAGCAGCAUUCCUCGAUUUAGAUGCAUUUCUCUUCAUGUCCUCUCCUGAAAGUUUUUCCAUGAUGUCUCGGGGUUAGGAUUGGGAUGCAGGAUGUACAGUAUAUAUCUAUAUGAUGUAAGAAUAUCCACUGUUUGUACACAUAAUCAUUUCUGUACUUACAAAGUUUUAAAAAAUCAAAAUCAAUUAUUGUACAUAUAAUGAUUUUCUUAAUGCAUUGAUCAGCUGUUGAUGAUUAAAACCUUAGGCAAAGACUUAUAAGAACGUAAUUUAUGAGUUUUUAUGAUCAAAGUUUGUCUAUUUUGCAUGUUUUGUGUCUGUCUGUCUAGCAUCUCUUCACCUUUUGGGCAAACAGAGAUUUAACCAAUUUAAGGACAUACGCUAUGUUUCUCUGAAAUUAUUUUUUCAUCUCCUCAAUAUGAAGAAUUCUUGCAUGAUUUCUAAAAUAAUUUUAAAGGGGCAUUAGCUAUAAUUUUGUCACCAAAUAUUGAAUUCAAUAAAAAUUGCUCUAUAUUAUAUAUUUCAGUAAUAACACAAGUAUUCAAUUAUUUCAAACACCUUUUAAUCUCAAAGCAGGCAAAUGAAUAUGUAAUUUUGGUGAUUAGAUAAUUAUUAUCUUGCAAGCCAAUAAUUCUUUUCUUUACACUAAAAGAGGUUAUUAAAUGUAGUUUUAUUAGGUUUCUCUUGGUUUUGUUGUUGUUUUGGGGUUUUUUUUCUUUUACAAAAGAAAUAUUUUUGUUAGUCAGUAAUAUAUAUUCCUUUGCCAUUGAGAGAUUUUGAGAGAGAAAAAAUGGUUGUCAUCACUUUCACAGCAAA